CAGCAGCCGCGGGAAAACGUAGGUGGCAAGCGUUGUCCGGAAUUAUUGGGCGUAAAGGGAGCGUAGGCGGAUCGUUAAGUUGGGGGUGAAAGCCCGGGGCUCAACCUCGGAACUGCCUUCAAUACUGGCGAUCUUGAGUAUGAGAGAGGUGUGUGGAACUCCGAGUGUAGAGGUGAAAUUCGUAGAUAUUCGGAAGAACACCAGUGGCGAAGGCGACACACUGGCUCAUUACUGACGCUGAGGCUCGAAAGCGUGGGGAGCAAACAGGAUUAGAUACCCCCGUAGUCCCUGUCUCUUAUAC
Molecule: ribosomal RNA, 301 nt
Filed under: uncultured bacterium
Lineage: Bacteria
Description: partial 16S ribosomal RNA
Rfam family: Bacterial small subunit ribosomal RNA
Source: RNAcentral